This 685-nucleotide ribosomal RNA is filed under the name Stenotrophomonas maltophilia. Its description in RNAcentral is "bacterial LSU rRNA". It matches the Rfam family "Bacterial large subunit ribosomal RNA", at positions 1067 to 1757 of the family's 2925-position model. Lineage: Bacteria; Pseudomonadati; Pseudomonadota; Gammaproteobacteria; Lysobacterales; Lysobacteraceae. The record is from RNAcentral.
AAAACCAUGUGGAAAGGCACAGACAGCCAGGAGGUUGGCUUAGAAGCAGCCACCCUUUAAAGAAAGCGUAAUAGCUCACUGGUCGAGUCGGUCUGCGGGGAAGAUUUAACGGGGCUAAGCAGUGAACCGAAGCUUGGGGUGCAUACUUUGUAUGCGCGGUAGAGGAGCGUUCCGUAAGCCGUUGAAGGUGGAUUGAGAAGUCUGCUGGAGGUAUCGGAAGUGCGAAUGCUGACAUGAGUAACGAUAAUGCGGGUGAAAAAACCCGCACGCCGAAAGCCCAAGGUUUCCUUGCGCAACGUUAAUCGGCGCAGGGUGAGUCGGCCCCUAAGGCGAGGACGAAAGUCGUAGUCGAUGGGAAGCAGGUUAAUAUUCCUGCACCUCGCGUAAGUGCGAUGGAGGGACGGAGAAGGUUAGGUGUACCAGGCGUUGGUUGUCCUGGGGAAAGGCGGUAGGUUUGGAUCUUUGGCAAAUCCGGGAUCCUUCAAGACCGAGCACCGAGACGAGCCUUUAAGGCGAAGUCACUGAUACCACGCUUCCAGGAAAAGCUCCUAAGCUUCAGCUUACGCAGACCGUACCGUAAACCGACACAGGUGGGUAGGAUGAGAAUUCUCAGGCGCUUGAGAGAACUCGGGUGAAGGAACUAGGCAACAUGGCACCGUAACUUCGGGAGAAGGUGCACCCUUUU